CACUCCUGCGGGAGGCAGCAGUGGGGAAUUUUGGACAAUGGGCGAAAGCCUGAUCCAGCAAUGCCGCGUGUGUGAAGAAGGCCUUCGGGUUGUAAAGCACUUUUGUCCGGAAAGAAAUCCUUGGCUCUAAUACAGUCGGGGGAUGACGGUACCGGAAGAAUAAGCACCGGCUAACUACGUGCCAGCAGCCGCGGUAAUACGUAGGGUGCGAGCGUUAAUCGGAAUUACUGGGCGUAAAGCGUGCGCAGGCGGUUUGCUAAGACCGAUGUGAAAUCCCCGGGCUCAACCUGGGAACUGCAUUGGUGACUGGCAGGCUAGAGUAUGGCAGAGGGGGGUAGAAUUCCACGUGUAGCAGUGAAAUGCGUAGAGAUGUGGAGGAAUACCGAUGGCGAAGGCAGCCCCCUGGGCCAAUACUGACGCUCAUGCACGAAAGCGUGGGGAGCAAACAGGAUUAGAUACCCGUGUAGUCCCA
Molecule: ribosomal RNA, 472 nt
Filed under: uncultured organism
Description: partial 16S ribosomal RNA
Rfam family: Bacterial small subunit ribosomal RNA
Source: RNAcentral